CCGCCCGUAGCUCAGUUGGUAGAGCAGCUCCCUUUUAAGGAGAUGGUCGAGGGUUCGAUUCCCCCCGGGCGGACAA
This 76-nucleotide transfer RNA is filed under the name Candidatus Kaiserbacteria bacterium RIFCSPHIGHO2_01_FULL_55_17. RNAcentral's name for it is "tRNA-Lys". It matches the Rfam family "tRNA". Rfam says of the family: Transfer RNA (tRNA) molecules are approximately 80 nucleotides in length. Their secondary structure includes four short double-helical elements and three loops (D, anti-codon, and T loops). Lineage: Bacteria; Candidatus Kaiseribacteriota. The record is from RNAcentral.